CAAGUAAUUAAGUGCAUGUGGUGGAUGCCUUGGCAGUCAGAGGCGAUGAAAGACGUGAUAGCCUGCGAAAAGCUCCGGGGAGGCGGCAAAUAUCCUUUGAUCCGGAGAUGUCUGAAUGGGGGAACCCACCUACUUUAAGGUAGGUAUUGCAACAUGAAUACAUAGUGUUGCAAGGCGAACGAGGGGAAGUGAAACAUCUCAGUACCCUUAGGAAAAGAAAUCAAUUGAGAUUCCCUCAGUAGCGGCGAGCGAACGGGGAUCAGCCCAUUAAGUUAUGUGUGUUUUAGUGGAACGCUCUGGGAAGUGCGAACGUAGAGGGUGAUAUUCCCGUACACGAAAGGGCACACAUAAUGAUGACGAGUAGGGCGAGGCACGUGAAACCUUGUCUGAAUAUGGGGGGACCAUCCUCCAAGGCUAAAUACUCCUGACUGACCGAUAGUGAACCAGUACCGUGAGGGAAAGGCGAAAAGAACCCCUGUGAGGGGAGUGAAAUAGAUCCUGAAACCGCAUGCAUACAAGCAGUGGGAGCACCUUCGUGGUGUGACUGCGUACCUUUUGUAUAAUGGGUCAGCGACUUAUAUUCAGUAGCGAGGUUAACCGUAUAGGGGAGCCGUAGAGAAAUCGAGUCUUAAUAGGGCGUUUAGUUGCUGGGUAUAGACCCGAAACCAGGCGAUCUAUCCAUGAGCAGGUUGAAGGUUGGGUAACACUAACUGGAGGACCGAACCCACUGUCGUUGAAAAGCCAGGGGAUGACUUGUGGAUAGGGGUGAAAGGCUAAUCAAGCCUGGUGAUAGCUGGUUCUCCCCGAAAGCUAUUUAGGUAGCGCCUCGGACGAAUACCAUAGGGGGUAGAGCACUGUUUCGGCUAGGGGGUCAUCCCGACUUACCAAACCGAUGCAAACUCCGAAUACCUAUGAGUACUAUCCGGGAGACAGACUGCGGGUGCUAACGUCCGUAGUCAAGAGGAAAACAAUCCAGACCGCCAGCUAAGGCCCCAAAAUCAUAGUUAAGUGGGAAACGAUGUGGGAAGGCAUAGACAGCUAGGAGGUUGGCUUAGAAGCAGCCACCCUUUAAAGAAAGCGUAAUAGCUCACUAGUCGAGUCGGCCUGCGCGGAAGAUGUAACGGGGCUAAAACUAUGUGCCGAAGCUGCGGAUGUAUACUUUGUAUACGUGGUAGGGGAGCGUUCUGUAAGCCGAUGAAGGUGUGUUGAGAAGCAUGCUGGAGGUAUCAGAAGUGCGAAUGCUGACGUGAGUAACGACAAAACGGGUGAAAAACCCGUUCGCCGAAAGACCAAGGGUUCCAGUCCAACGUUAAUCGGGGCUGGGUGAGUCGACCCCUAAGGCGAGGCCGAAAGGCGUAGUCGAUGGGAAAAUGGUUAAUAUUCCAUUACUUCUGUGUAAUGCGAUGAGAGGACGGAGAAGGCUAAAUCAGCCUGGCGUUGGUUGUCCAGGUGAAAGGAUGUAGGCAUGUAUCUUAGGCAAAUCCGGGGUACUCUAUGCUGAGAUCUGAUAGCAAGCUGUACUUGUACAGCGAAGUGGUUGAUGCCAUGCUUCCAGGAAAAGUCUCUAAGCUUCAGUUACACAGGAAUCGUACCCGAAACCGACACAGGUGGUCAGGUCGAGUAGACCAAGGCGCUUGAGAGAACUCUGCUGAAGGAACUAGGCAAAAUGGUACCGUAACUUCGGGAGAAGGUACGCUGUUGUUGGUGAUGGAACUCGCUUCCUGAGCUGACGACAGCCGCAGAAACCAGGCCGCUGCAACUGUUUAUUAAAAACAUAGCACUCUGCAAACACGAAAGUGGACGUAUAGGGUGUGAUGCCUGCCCGGUGCUGGAAGGUUAAUUGAUGGGGUUAGCGUAAGCGAAGCUCUUGAUCGAAGCCCCAGUAAACGGCGGCCGUAACUAUAACGGUCCUAAGGUAGCGAAAUUCCUUGUCGGGUAAGUUCCGACCUGCACGAAUGGCAUAAUGAUGGCGGCGCUGUCUCCAGCAGAGGCUCAGUGAAAUCGAAAUCGCUGUGAAGAUGCAGUGUACCCGCGGCUAGACGGAAAGACCCCGUGAACCUUUACUGCAGCUUGACACUGAACUUUGACCUUACUUGUGUAGGAUAGGUGGGAGGCUUUGAAGCUGGAACGCUAGUUCCAGUGGAGCCGUCCUUGAAAUACCACCCUGGUAAUGUUGAGGUUCUAACUCUGUCCCGUGAUCCGGGACGAGGACCGUGUCUGGUGGGUAGUUUGACUGGGGCGGUCUCCUCCUAAAGAGUAACGGAGGAGUACGAAGGUGCGCUCAGCGUGGUCGGAAAUCACGCGUAGAGUAUAAAGCAAAAGCGCGCUUAACUGCGAGACCCACAAGUCGAGCAGGUACGAAAGUAGGUCUUAGUGAUCCGGUGGUUCUGUAUGGAAGGCCAUCGCUCAACGGAUAAAAGGUACUCUGGGGAUAACAGGCUGAUACCGCCCAAGAGUUCAUAUCGACGGCGGUGUUUGGCACCUCGAUGUCGGCUCAUCUCAUCCUGGGGCUGAAGCAGGUCCCAAGGGUAUGGCUGUUCGCCAUUUAAAGAGGUACGCGAGCUGGGUUUAGAACGUCGUGAGACAGUUCGGUCCCUAUCUACCGUGGGCGCUGGAAAUUUGAGAGGAUCUGCUCCUAGUACGAGAGGACCAGAGUGGACGAACCUCUGGUGUACCGGUUGUGACGCCAGUCGCAUCGCCGGGUAGCUAUGUUCGGAAGGAUAACCGCUGAAAGCAUCUAAGCGGGAAGCCUACCUCAAGAUAAGAUUUCCCUAGGACUUUAUGUCCUCUAAAGAGCCGUUCGAGACUAGGACGUUGAUAGGUUGGAUGUGGAAGCAUAGUGAUAUGUGAAGCUGACCAAUACUAAUUGCUCGUGAGGCUUGACUA
This 2886-nucleotide ribosomal RNA is filed under the name Acinetobacter baumannii 1457504. RNAcentral's name for it is "bacterial LSU rRNA". It matches the Rfam family "Bacterial large subunit ribosomal RNA". Lineage: Bacteria; Pseudomonadati; Pseudomonadota; Gammaproteobacteria; Moraxellales; Moraxellaceae. The record is from RNAcentral.